This 21-nucleotide small nuclear RNA is filed under the name Arabidopsis thaliana (thale cress). Its description in RNAcentral is "snRNA_00714". Lineage: Eukaryota; Viridiplantae; Streptophyta; Magnoliopsida; Brassicales; Brassicaceae. The record is from RNAcentral.
GUGCUCACUCUCUUCUGUCAG